CUAGCAAUGACAAAAUCCAUUUUGUUGAAUCCUCAUUAUCAGCCAUACUUUAUGCCACUAGAGGUUUUUCAGUUCUUUGUACUUGAGGUUGCAGAUCAAAGCUGAAAAUAAGCUUCUGAAUGCUGAAGUUUUUGUACAUAUCAUGUUCGAACCGUGAGAGUGGAGUAAAGGAUAAAUGCGAUGUUAACAGGCUAAAGAAGACAAAGGUGGAAAGAAAUCCUGAUUUGAAAGGAUUAGUAUGGCUGAAUUAACGCAAGGAACUAUUCAAAAAACUAGAAGACUGUGAAGGUUUCCUGGAGCAAAUUACGAACAAAAGACCUCUUAUGGUAGCAACAACGAUGUCACUACCCAAUUACUGUCCUGAAAGCUCAUGUGGCCAGUGUAAGUUCGAGGCUCAUAAAUACAUAUAUCUUCAAGAAUUAAGAAAGUCAGUUUUGUUUCUCUUCUUCCGUUAAAAAUAGUCCUGAUAUUUAAUCAUUUUUCAGCUUCUGUUUGGAGCACUAUUAAAUCACUUAAACGGGAGUUACUGUUAGUAAUAAAGUCACUUUUAAUUAAAGGUUUGACAGUUACAGAAACGAAUGGUCAUGAAUUAUUAUGCAUUAAGUGCGUUUAAGGGUCAUCAUUAUUUGUUAGCUAACCACUAAGCAUUAGCUUUAUGUCUAUUUAGUAUUUUUAAUUGAGGAGUAUCAUGUCAUGUAGCAUAUCCAAAUCUACCUUCUCAUGUAGCAUGUGCAAAUUGAGGAAAUGAUAAAGUUUAUUUCUGGAUUAAAUG
This is a long non-coding RNA of Lotus japonicus, 772 nucleotides long. RefSeq lists it as uncharacterized. The transcript is spliced from 5 exons. The record is from RefSeq and is a predicted model, not a curated record. Lineage: Eukaryota; Viridiplantae; Streptophyta; Magnoliopsida; Fabales; Fabaceae.